GAUGGACGUUGGCGACGUGCCUAACACAUGCCAGUCGAGCGGAGAAGAAGUGAGUGAACUCUUCGGAGUGCACUUUUUUCGGAUCAGAGGCGGACGGGUGAGCAAUACAUGAGGAACCUGCCCCCUACAAGGGGAUAGACGAGGGAAACCGCGACUACUACCCUAUGAGACCACGAAAGAGCAUGCCCUUGCGGCCAAAGAUUUCUCGGUAGACGAUGGCCUCAUGACCCAUUAGCUAGUUGGUGAUGUAACAGACCACCAAGGCGACGAUGGGUAGCCGGCUUGCGAGAGUGAGCCGCCACAUUGGAACUGGGACACGGGCCAGACUCCUACGGGAGGCAGCAGUGCCGAAUACUGCACAAUGGGGGAAGCCCUGAUGCAGCGACGUCGCGUGAGCGAAGAAGGCCUUCGGGGAGGAAAGCUCUGUCCUAUGGGAAGAAAAGGACGGUACCAAAGAAGGAAGCCCCGGCUAACUACGUG
Molecule: ribosomal RNA, 480 nt
Filed under: uncultured bacterium
Lineage: Bacteria
Description: partial 16S ribosomal RNA
Rfam family: Bacterial small subunit ribosomal RNA
Source: RNAcentral